RNAcentral lists this ribosomal RNA (422 nucleotides) under uncultured bacterium. RNAcentral describes it as "bacterial SSU rRNA". It matches the Rfam family "Bacterial small subunit ribosomal RNA", at positions 355 to 774 of the family's 1533-position model. The record is from RNAcentral.
UAAGGAAUAUUGGUCAAUGGACGCAAGUCUGAACCAGCCAUGCCGCGUGGAGGAUGAAGGUCCUCUGGAUUGUAAACUUCUUUUAUCUGGGACGAAACACUUCUUUUCUAAGAGGCCUGACAGUACCAGAUGAAUAAGCACCGGCUAACUCCGUGCCAGCAGCCGCGGUAAUACGGAGGGUGCAAGCGUUAUCCGGAUUCACUGGGUUUAAAGGGUGCGUAGGUGGGUAUGUAAGUCAGUGGUGAAAUCCCCGAGCUUAACUUGGGAACUGCCAUUGAUACUAUAUAUCUUGAAUACCGUAGAGGUAAGCGGAAUAUGUCAUGUAGCGGUGAAAUGCUUAGAUAUGACAUGGAACACCAAUUGCGAAGGCAGCUUACUAUGCGGUGAUUGACACUGAGGCACGAAAGCGUGGGUAGCAAACA